GGAAUCUUCCACAAUGGACGAAAGUCUGAUGGAGCAACGCCGCGUGAGUGAAGAAGGUUUUCGGAUCGUAAAACUCUGUUGUUGGAGAAGAACACGUUUGAGAGUAACUGUUCAGACGUUGACGGUAUCCAACCAGAAAGCCACGGCUAACUACGUGCCAGCAGCCGCGGUAAUACGUAGGUGGCGAGCGUUGUUCGGAUUUAUUGGGCGUAAAGGGUCCGCAGGGGGUUGAUUAAGUUUGACGUGAAAUCCCGGAGCUUAACUCCGGAACUGCGUUGAAGACUGGUUGACUAGAGUGCUGGAGAGGUAAUUGGAAUUCCAGGUGUAGCGGUGGAAUGCGUAGAUAUCUGGAAGAAUAUCGAUAGCGAAGGCAGAUUACUGGACAGCAACUGACCCUCAGGGACGAAAGCAUGGGGAGCAAACA
Molecule: ribosomal RNA, 424 nt
Filed under: uncultured bacterium
Lineage: Bacteria
Description: bacterial SSU rRNA
Rfam family: Bacterial small subunit ribosomal RNA
Source: RNAcentral